This 400-nucleotide ribosomal RNA is filed under the name uncultured bacterium. Its description in RNAcentral is "bacterial SSU rRNA". It matches the Rfam family "Bacterial small subunit ribosomal RNA", at positions 355 to 772 of the family's 1533-position model. The record is from RNAcentral.
UGGGGAAUAUUGCACAAUGGGGGAAACCCUGAUGCAGCAACGCCGCGUGAGUGAUGAAGGCCUUCGGGUUGUAAAGCUCUGUCUUCAGGGACGAUAAUGACGGUACCUGAGGAGGAAGCCACGGCUAACUACGUGCCAGCAGCCGCGGUAAUACGUAGGUGGCAAGCGUUGUCCGGAUUUACUGGGCGUAAAGGGAGCGUAGGCGGAUAUUUAAGUGGGAUGUGAAAUACCUGGGCUUAACUUGGGUGCUGCAUUCCAAACUGGAUAUCUGGAGUGUUGGAGAGGAAAGUGGAAUUCCUAGUGUAGCGGUGAAAUGCGUAGAGAUUAGGAAGAACACCAGUGGCGAAGGCGACUUUCUGGACAAUAACUGACGCUGAGGCUCGAAAGCGUGGGGAGCAAA